This 279-nucleotide ribosomal RNA is filed under the name uncultured prokaryote. RNAcentral describes it as "partial 16S ribosomal RNA". It matches the Rfam family "Bacterial small subunit ribosomal RNA", at positions 524 to 801 of the family's 1533-position model. The record is from RNAcentral.
UACGAAGGGUGCAAGCGUUUAAUCGGAAUUACUGGGCGUAAAGCGCGCGUAGGUGGUUCGUUAAGUUAGGAGUGAAAGCCCCGGGCUCAACCUGGGAAUUGCUUCUAAAACUGGCGAGCUAGAGUAUGGUAGAGGGUGGUGGAAUUUCCUGUGUAGCGGUGAAAUGCGUAGAUAUAGGAAGGAACAUCAGUGGCGAAGGCGACCACCUGGACUGAUACUGACACUGAGGUGCGAAAGCGUGGGGAGCAAACAGGAUUAGAUACCCCCGUAGUCCCUGAG